RNAcentral lists this small nucleolar RNA (118 nucleotides) under Zea mays. RNAcentral describes it as "Small nucleolar RNA Z278". It matches the Rfam family "Small nucleolar RNA Z278". Rfam says of the family: snoZ278 is a C/D box small nucleolar RNA. Its methylation guide targets have not been reported. The record is from Rfam by way of RNAcentral. Lineage: Eukaryota; Viridiplantae; Streptophyta; Magnoliopsida; Poales; Poaceae.
GCCACUGAUGAAGUUGUCCAAUGUUUGGAGGCUGCAGUCGGCUCCAAGUUCCUGCUUGUCAGGUAGAACCUACUUGGAGCUGCUGCACUCGCAUGACAAGACUGGGCAAUACUGAGGC